UGGGGAAUUUUGGACAAUGGGCGAAAGCCUGAUCCAGCAAUGCCGCGUGUGUGAAGAAGGCCUUCGGGUUGUAAAGCACUUUUGUCCGGAAAGAAAUCCUUGGCUCUAAUACAGUCGGGGGAUGACGGUACCGGAAGAAUAAGCACCGGCUAACUACGUGCCAGCAGCCGCGGUAAUACGUAGGGUGCAAGCGUUAAUCGGAAUUACUGGGCGUAAAGCGUGCGCAGGCGGUUUGCUAAGACCGAUGUGAAAUCCCCGGGCUCAACCUGGGAACUGCAUUGGUGACUGGCAGGCUAGAGUAUGGCAGAGGGGGGUAGAAUUCCACGUGUAGCAGUGAAAUGCGUAGAGAUGUGGAGGAAUACCGAUGGCGAAGGCAGCCCCCUGGGCCAAUACUGACGCUCAUGCACGAAAGCGUGGGGAGCAAACAGGAUUAGAUACCCUGGUAGUCCACGCCCUAAACGAUGUCAACUAGUCGUUGGGGAUUCAUUUCCUUAGUAACGUAGCUAACGCGUGAAGUUGACCGCCUGGGGAGUACGGUCGCAAGAUUAAAACUCAAAUGAAUUGACGGGGUCAUAGCUGUUUCCU
RNAcentral lists this ribosomal RNA (585 nucleotides) under uncultured bacterium. RNAcentral describes it as "partial 16S ribosomal RNA". It matches the Rfam family "Bacterial small subunit ribosomal RNA", at positions 355 to 1375 of the family's 1533-position model. The record is from RNAcentral.